RNAcentral lists this long non-coding RNA (210 nucleotides) under Solanum tuberosum (potato). RNAcentral's name for it is "long non-coding RNA (STUB_LNC000890)". The record is from RNAcentral. Lineage: Eukaryota; Viridiplantae; Streptophyta; Magnoliopsida; Solanales; Solanaceae.
AAAAAAAAAAAUCCCCCCCUCCUCUUCAGUGAAGAGGACCAGACCUUUAUAGGGGAAAAAUUAGGGUUUGUAAUGGGGGGAAAACGGAUAAAAAUUUCCAUAGGGCCAGGGACCAUUUCAAAAUUUGAAAUCCAAAUCCUUUCACCAUUUAGGGGAUACAACUUUUUCUCCAAAAAAACGUCUCAUUCCGGAAGAGGAAAAAGGGACAAG